RNAcentral lists this transfer RNA (75 nucleotides) under Hyphomicrobiales bacterium. Its description in RNAcentral is "tRNA-Thr". It matches the Rfam family "tRNA". Rfam says of the family: Transfer RNA (tRNA) molecules are approximately 80 nucleotides in length. Their secondary structure includes four short double-helical elements and three loops (D, anti-codon, and T loops). Lineage: Bacteria; Pseudomonadati; Pseudomonadota; Alphaproteobacteria; Hyphomicrobiales. RNAcentral also lists the same sequence under 1 other name. The record is from RNAcentral.
GCCGUGGUAGCUCAGGGGCAGAGCACGUCCUUGGUAAGGACGGGGUCGGUGGUUCGAUUCCACUCCACGGCACCA